UUUCUGUUUGCAUUGCGUUUGCGGCACUCUCUUCUUCUUCUUCUUCUUCUUCUUCAUGUUUGUUUUAUCUCUCUCAAUUUCGAAGAGACCAUCGACAACGCAGAGUUAGAAGAGAUGGGUAGAACAAAAUCAUUCAAGGACGAGCUUACAUUCGAGCAAAGGGUGCAAGAAUCGCGGGAUGUUCAGGCCAAAUACCCUGAUCGAGUUCCGGUGAUUGUUGAAAAGUAUGCCAAGUGCGACCUUCCUCAGAUGGAAAAGAGAAGGUGCUGUGGAGAUGCGCUGGGUUGAUACGUACUUUCCAUUUACCAAUCCAUCAUUUGAACUUGAGAUUUUCUUUCAGGCAUUGAUUCCAAUCAUUUAAUGGGUUAGAACUUUGAAUUUUGAUCUGCUUUUAUCUGUCUCAGGAAAAGUGGUUGGAGGUUUUGGGUUGCGGAGUAACAGAACAAGAAAUAUUGAAGAGAAGUGGGAAAACAGAAUGUUGCUUGGGCUUUCGGACUUGGAUUGGAGCGGCUGGCAAUGGUUCUAUUUGACAUCCCUGAUAUUCGCCUUUUCUGGUCAACUGAUGACAUCCCUGACUUGGGCUCUCAGUUUUUGAAGGGGCAGCUGGGAGUCAAGUUCAAGCCAUAUUCAAAGUAUCCUCCGUGUUACAAAGAUGUUAGUUUUUGGAUCAAGUGAAUCUUUCACUGAAAACAAUUUAUGUGAAGUUGUCAGAGAGGUUGCUGGAGAUCUUGCUAAGGAGGUGCAAUUGAUAGACAAUUUCACAAACAAGAAAGGAAUGACCAGUCACUGUUACAGGAUUGCUUAUAUAGGUCUACGGAACGAUCACUUACAGACGAGGAAGUCAAUAAAUUGCAGGGUACUGUAAGAGAGUUGGUUGAGAGCAAGUUGAAGGCUAUCUUGAGAUGAGAGUUCCUGGUGUAGUAGCCUAUUAGCUCAAAAUUAUUUAAAUUCUGAACUUCAUUUAUAGGUGUUGAAUUUUUGCUCAACCAUGUAAAAAUCAUGUCUUGUUUCUUACCAACUGUAUUUGAGCCUGCCUAAUACACAUGACUUGAAAAUAAAACUAAAACCUUUUUGGGAGACAAAAUGUACUCAAAGGGUUACACCACAAAAAUUGUUUACCAAGUGCUAA
Long non-coding RNA from Rosa chinensis, 1129 nucleotides. RefSeq lists it as uncharacterized. Lineage: Eukaryota; Viridiplantae; Streptophyta; Magnoliopsida; Rosales; Rosaceae. The record is from RefSeq and is a predicted model, not a curated record. The transcript has 9 exons.